GUGAAUCAUCAAAUUUUUGAACGCAAAUUGCACCCUCUGGUAUUCCGGACAGUAUGCCUGUUUGCAGUUCAGGUUAAAUAAAAAUCGGUGUGUUUGCUGCCUUUCGUGGUGACGCACCGGAUUUGGGUCGUCUUGCCUUCGGUUAAGUAACCUAAAAUUUUGCAUGAGUUUUUUCGAACGUAUUUAAAUGAUUAUACGUACGUUUGCGAUAUCGAAUACUAGUUGUGGUCAUCCGCAUGAUUCUCGCCUAUAAUUUUUCAUCAAAAUAA
RNAcentral lists this unclassified non-coding RNA (269 nucleotides) under Glomus sp. Its description in RNAcentral is "partial internal transcribed spacer 2". Lineage: Eukaryota; Fungi; Glomeromycota; Glomeromycetes; Glomerales; Glomeraceae. The record is from RNAcentral.